RNAcentral lists this ribosomal RNA (489 nucleotides) under uncultured bacterium. RNAcentral's name for it is "partial 16S ribosomal RNA". It matches the Rfam family "Bacterial small subunit ribosomal RNA", at positions 28 to 507 of the family's 1533-position model. The record is from RNAcentral.
GACGAACGCUGGCGGCGUGCUUAACACAUGCAAGUCGAACGGUGAAGGGACCAGCUUGCUGGUUCUGGAUGAGUGGCGAACGGGUGAGUAACACGUGAGUAACCUGCCCCCUUCUUCUGGAUAACCGCAUGAAAGUGUGGCUAAUACGGGAUAUUCUGGGUCUGUCGCAUGGCGGGCCCGGGAAAGAUAUUGCUUCGGUGGGGGAUGGGCUCGCGGCCUAUCAGCUUGUUGGUGGGGUGAUGGCCUACCAAGGCGGUGACGGGUAGCGGGCCUGAGAGGGGGGACGGUCACACUGGGACUGAGACACGGCCCAGACUCCUACGGGAGGCAGCAGUGGGGAAUAUUGCACAAUGGGCGCAAGCCUGAUGCAGCGACGCCGCGUGAGGGAUGGAGGCCUUCGGGUUGUAAACCUCUUUCGCCAGUGAAGCAGGCCUGCUCCUUGUGGGUGGGUUGACGGUAGCUGGAUAAGAAGCGCCGGCUAACUACGUG